GAUGAACGCUGGCGGCGUGCCUAAUACAUGCAAGUCGAGCGAACGGACGAGAAGCUUGCUUUUCUGAUGUUAGCGGCGGACGGGUGAGUAACACGUGGAUAACCUACCUAUAAGACUGGGAUAACUUCGGGAAACCGGAGCUAAUACCGGAUAAUAUUUUGAACCGCAUGGUUCAAAAGUGAAAGACGGUCUUGCUGUCACUUAUAGAUGGAUCCGCGCUGCAUUAGCUAGUUGAUAAGGUAACGGCUUACCAAGGCAACGAUGCAUAGCCGACCUGAGAGGGUGAUCGGCCACACUGGAACUGAGACACGGUCCAGACUCCUACGGGAGGCAGCAGUAGGGAAUCUUCCGCAAUGGGCGAAAGCCUGACGGAGCAACGCCGCGUGAGUGAUGAAGGUCUUCGGAUCGUAAAACUCUGUUAUUAGGGAAGAACAUAUGUGUAAGUAACUGUGCACAUCUUGACGGUACCUAAUCAGAGAGCCACGGCUAACUACGUG
RNAcentral lists this ribosomal RNA (497 nucleotides) under uncultured bacterium. Its description in RNAcentral is "partial 16S ribosomal RNA". It matches the Rfam family "Bacterial small subunit ribosomal RNA", at positions 28 to 507 of the family's 1533-position model. The record is from RNAcentral.